CAGGCUGGUGUCUCGCCCGCUGGUACUACUUCAAAGAACAUGGCAGCGUCCGUGAAGGUAUCGGCAUCAUUGCUGACAACUGCUCUCUUCGUCGUCCUUCAACUUAUCCGCCAGCCUUGACCUUCCCAGGCAGCCUUGACCUUUCCAGAAUAUCAAUACGCCCGCACAGAAUGAUGGUUUCAACGUAGAAAUCUGAGAAAUAUGUGUGUUUAUUCUUGAUUUACAAAGAAUGUAUUAAAUGUGAUUUUAAACUGAUUCACAUAAUGAGGGACAUUAUGGAUGUCAACUUCUCCAUUAUGAAUACAUUUAGUUUAUUUAAUUUUGCUGUAAAUGUUGUUCAAUAUGUUGUGUCUAAGCAUGAAUAAAUCGGAAAGUAACAUUUGAACAUAACGUGCUGGAUAAAAGAAAACAUUAAUUAGAAAAUUUGAUUUGUCCACGAUGUUCCAAACGUUAUUGUUACCAUUAAAAGGCUUAUAGUGAAUGCAAAACUUUACGAAUGUCUAUGUCCUUAACAAAAACUAUGUGACCCGUGUCAGAGACAUAAGUUUCUUUUUUAGAGUCUAUGUGACAACUUGAGACGUGAUCAAAAGGUUGUUUCAGAAAGUUUACUAUUUUCAAGGCCACAGAAAAGCUUUCAAACAAUGUUAAUGUUAGAUAUGUGGAAGAUAUUUCCAAAUUCGGGGCAGUAUUGCCAAUAAAGGAUGUCAGAUGUAAUUCCCAAUUGUUUUUUAUAAGGUUUAUAUUUGACUUGCCUGUUCAUGUGUUUGUGGGUUGACACGUGUGGUACGUGUUUUCGCGAAUCCGUGGUACCAUCACUAAUGUAAUUAAUCCAAUCUCAUCAGUAGCAAUGACGUUUGCAAUAAAAAGUUGUGAUAAAAAAUUC
Haliotis rubra (blacklip abalone) is the source of this 883-nucleotide long non-coding RNA. RefSeq lists it as uncharacterized. The record is from RefSeq and is a predicted model, not a curated record. NCBI's taxonomy places the organism in Eukaryota, Metazoa, Mollusca, Gastropoda, Lepetellida, Haliotidae. The transcript is spliced from 2 exons.